Molecule: long non-coding RNA, 1011 nt
Organism: Panthera uncia (snow leopard)
Lineage: Eukaryota; Metazoa; Chordata; Mammalia; Carnivora; Felidae
Exons: 6
Source: RefSeq, a predicted model, not a curated record
UGACUACGUUGUCCACGGCCGUCAGCCUCUCUUCCUGGUCCAUCUUGUUGCCUUAGCCGAAGCGUCCCUAGCGACAGAGGCGCCAGCGUCAGGAACGCGGUCUCGAAUUACCCGCUUCAAAUUCAAGCCUGACACCCGUCAGCUGAUUCAAACCUUGGUGAAACGUGGAGCCACGUGAGAGAUGCAAAUUGCAAUCCAAAAUUAAAUAUUAUGAGACUGCCAGGAUGUGUCGACAAAAUAUUCUAGAUCAGCACUCUUAAUCUCAUUCUAACGCAAUGUUAUGCGGGACAAAAAUACCGAGCACACAAUGAAAGACCUUGCCUUUGUCGAAGCUGCCUUUUUUAAAGGGUCCUCCUCCAUCAAGAUUUCAUCACUUUCAAGAAGCAGUAAAGCAUCUAGAAAAUCUCAGUGUUCUCAUUUCCUCAACUCAAGAUCUGUGGAAAAUUAAUCCUAACAGCCCUCCCGGAGACAAGAUCACAAGCUUUCUGAAUGAGUACCUCACUAUUGAAUGUAUGGCUUAUCACUGCAAUAUUUAAGCACAUCAUAAGAUCAUUUCCUCAAAUAUUACACAGCAAGACGACUUAAUUUGAACACAAUCAGAUUAAAGAUGGUUGCCAGAGGUGAAAACUAAGGAUGAAUAUCAGAAGAUACAAGACAGAAGUGUGCCUGGCACAGUAAAUAAGAACACGUUGUGACUUACGCAUAAUGCUUCAAUCUUUUUGCUUUAUCUGUAAAAUCAGCUUUUCUAACUCUGAUUUUCUGGGAGGAUAAAAGAGCCAUUUCUGAUAUAACCCAGCAUAUGCGAUUUCUAAAACUCACUGCAAUAUGCAGAAUUGUGCAGUAAAGACCCCGGGACCCAUGAGAAAAUGGGGCUGGGAACACAGCACUCAAAACUUUACGAGAAACACGUAAAUGAGGAUAGAAACCUAAUAAAAAAUGACAGUACAGUUCAUGCAUGUUACAUAGUUAAAAAAUAAUAAAUACUAUAAUAAAUGUGGCAUUUUACUUUCA